AUUGAACGCUGGCGGCAGGCCUAACACAUGCAAGUCGAACGGUAGCACAGAGAGCUUGCUCUCGGGUGACGAGUGGCGGACGGGUGAGUAAUGUCUGGGAAACUGCCCGAUGGAGGGGGAUAACUACUGGAAACGGUAGCUAAUACCGCAUAACGUCCUCGGACCAAAGUGGGGGACCUUCGGGCCUCACACCAUCGGAUGGGCCCAGAUGGGAUUAGCUAGUAGGUGGGGUAAUGGCUCACCUAGGCGACGAUCCCUAGCUGGUCUGAGAGGAUGACCAGCCACACUGGAACUGAGACACGGUCCAGACUCCUACGGGAGGCAGCAGUGGGGAAUAUUGCACAAUGGGCGCAAGCCUGAUGCAGCCAUGCCGCGUGUAUGAAGAAGGCCUUCGGGUUGUAAAGUACUUUCAGCGGGGAGGGAGGCGAUGUGGUUAAUAACCGCAUCGAUUGACGUUACCCGCAGAAGAAGCACCGGCUAACUCCGUGCCAGCAGCCGCCGUAA
RNAcentral lists this ribosomal RNA (504 nucleotides) under uncultured bacterium. RNAcentral's name for it is "partial 16S ribosomal RNA". It matches the Rfam family "Bacterial small subunit ribosomal RNA", at positions 30 to 523 of the family's 1533-position model. The record is from RNAcentral.